GAUGAACGUUGGCGGCGUGCCUAAUACAUGCAAGUCGAACGAAGACUGUAGUAAUACUGUCUUAGUGGCGAACGGGUGAGUAACGCGUGGGUGACCUGCCCCGAAGUGUGGGAUAACAGUUCGAAAGGAUUGCUAAUACUGCAUAAUAUCCAAGAGAUUAGACGCUUUUGGAUUAAAGGAGUAAUUCGCUUCGGGAGGGGCCCGCGUCCCAUCAGCUAGUUGGUAAGGUAAUGGCUUACCAAGGCGAUGACGGGUAGGGGACCUGAGAGGGUGGCCCCCCCACAAUGGAACUGAAACACGGUCCAUACACCUACGGGUGGCAGCAGUAGGGAAUAUUAGUAAUGGGCGAAAGCCUGAACUAGCAACGCCGCGUGUGCGAAGAAGGCCUUCGGGUUGUAAAGCACUUUUUGAGAGGAUGAGGAAGGACGGUACUCUCAGAAUAAGUCUACGGCUAACUACGUG
RNAcentral lists this ribosomal RNA (462 nucleotides) under uncultured bacterium. Its description in RNAcentral is "bacterial SSU rRNA". It matches the Rfam family "Bacterial small subunit ribosomal RNA", at positions 28 to 507 of the family's 1533-position model. The record is from RNAcentral.